AUAAGAAGGAAGAAGAAUAAUAAGAAGGGAGAAGCUCCAGGGAAACAAAUAAGAGAGGAAUGUUCUGGAGGUCAGAACACUGAGUGGCCACAGAGAACACCUCUAUCUCAAGACUCCUGGAUCCUAGUCAUGGUCUCCGUCAACAGAAACCGACUGGGAGGCUGUGGGGAAGAAUUUGCCACAUCCGUUGGGGUUGUUGCCAGUAUCUAGGGACUCGCAGAUGCAAAGAUUCCCAAGUCCUUUGCAAGAACUCUGAUGCCACAGAAGCAAAGAAACAGAGAGCAAAACUUAAGAGAAGUCUUACAGUUCCAAGAAAGUUUCUAUGAGCUAGUUAUGGUAUCUCAUAUUUCAAUAAAAACAUGUAAAGCCUUUAUAUUCUGG
This is a long non-coding RNA of Fukomys damarensis (Damara mole-rat), 381 nucleotides long. RefSeq lists it as uncharacterized. The record is from RefSeq and is a predicted model, not a curated record. The transcript is spliced from 3 exons. NCBI's taxonomy places the organism in Eukaryota, Metazoa, Chordata, Mammalia, Rodentia, Bathyergidae.